RNAcentral lists this ribosomal RNA (1463 nucleotides) under uncultured Klebsiella sp. Its description in RNAcentral is "bacterial SSU rRNA". It matches the Rfam family "Bacterial small subunit ribosomal RNA". The record is from RNAcentral. Lineage: Bacteria; Pseudomonadati; Pseudomonadota; Gammaproteobacteria; Enterobacterales; Enterobacteriaceae.
AUUGAACGCUGGCGGCAGGCCUAACACAUGCAAGUCGAGCGGUAGCACAGAGAGCUUGCUCUCGGGUGACGAGCGGCGGACGGGUGAGUAAUGUCUGGGAAACUGCCUGAUGGAGGGGGAUAACUACUGGAAACGGUAGCUAAUACCGCAUAACGUCGCAAGACCAAAGUGGGGGACCUUCGGGCCUCAUGCCAUCAGAUGUGCCCAGAUGGGAUUAGCUAGUAGGUGGGGUAACGGCUCACCUAGGCGACGAUCCCUAGCUGGUCUGAGAGGAUGACCAGCCACACUGGAACUGAGACACGGUCCAGACUCCUACGGGAGGCAGCAGUGGGGAAUAUUGCACAAUGGGCGCAAGCCUGAUGCAGCCAUGCCGCGUGUGUGAAGAAGGCCUUCGGGUUGUAAAGCACUUUCAGCGGGGAGGAAGGCGUUAAGGUUAAUAACCUUGGCGAUUGACGUUACCCGCAGAAGAAGCACCGGCUAACUCCGUGCCAGCAGCCGCGGUAAUACGGAGGGUGCAAGCGUUAAUCGGAAUUACUGGGCGUAAAGCGCGCGCAGGCGGUCUGUCAAGUCGGAUGUGAAAUCCCCGGGCUCAACCUGGGAACUGCAUUCGAAACUGGCAGGCUAGAGUCUUGUAGAGGGGGGUAGAAUUCCAGGUGUAGCGGUGAAAUGCGUAGAGAUCUGGAGGAAUACCGGUGGCGAAGGCGGCCCCCUGGACAAAGACUGACGCUCAGGUGCGAAAGCGUGGGGAGCAAACAGGAUUAGAUACCCUGGUAGUCCACGCCGUAAACGAUGUCGAUUUGGAGGUUGUGCCCUUGAGGCGUGGCUUCCGGAGCUAACGCGUUAAAUCGACCGCCUGGGGAGUACGGCCGCAAGGUUAAAACUCAAAUGAAUUGACGGGGGCCCGCACAAGCGGUGGAGCAUGUGGUUUAAUUCGAUGCAACGCGAAGAACCUUACCUGGUCUUGACAUCCACAGAACUUUCCAGAGAUGGAUUGGUGCCUUCGGGAACUGUGAGACAGGUGCUGCAUGGCUGUCGUCAGCUCGUGUUGUGAAAUGUUGGGUUAAGUCCCGCAACGAGCGCAACCCUUAUCCUUUGUUGCCAGCGGUUCGGCCGGGAACUCAAAGGAGACUGCCAGUGAUAAACUGGAGGAAGGUGGGGAUGACGUCAAGUCAUCAUGGCCCUUACGACCAGGGCUACACACGUGCUACAAUGGCAUAUACAAAGAGAAGCGACCUCGCGAGAGCAAGCGGACCUCAUAAAGUAUGUCGUAGUCCGGAUUGGAGUCUGCAACUCGACUCCAUGAAGUCGGAAUCGCUAGUAAUCGUAGAUCAGAAUGCUACGGUGAAUACGUUCCCGGGCCUUGUACACACCGCCCGUCACACCAUGGGAGUGGGUUGCAAAAGAAGUAGGUAGCUUAACCUUCGGGAGGGCGCUUACCACUUUGUGAUUCAUGACUGGGGUGA